GACGGGGGGGGCAAGUGUUCUUUGGAAUGACUGGGCGUAAAGGGCACGUAGGCGGUGAAUCGGGUUGAAAGUGAAAGUCGCCAAAAAGUGGCGGAAUGCUCUCGAAACCAAUUCACUUGAGUGAGACAGAGGAGAGUGGAAUUUCGUGUGUAGGGGUGAAAUCCGUAGAUAUCGGAAGGAACACCUGUGGCGAAAGCGGCUCACUGGACCAUUACUGACGCUGAGGCACGAAAGCUAGGGGAGCAAACAGG
This 251-nucleotide ribosomal RNA is filed under the name uncultured bacterium. RNAcentral describes it as "partial 16S ribosomal RNA". It matches the Rfam family "Bacterial small subunit ribosomal RNA", at positions 524 to 776 of the family's 1533-position model. The record is from RNAcentral.